UACGUAGGGUGCGAGCGUUGUCCGGAAUUACUGGGCGUAAAGAGCUCGUAGGUGGUUUGUCGCGUUGUUCGUGAAAACCUGAGGCUUAACCUUGGGCGUGCGGGCGAUACGGGCAGACUGGAGUACUGCAGGGGAGACUGGAAUUCCUGGUGUAGCGGUGGAAUGCGCAGAUAUCAGGAGGAACACCGGUGGCGAAGGCGGGUCUCUGGGCAACAACUGACGCUGAGGAGCGAAAGCGUGGGGAGCGAACAGG
Molecule: ribosomal RNA, 253 nt
Filed under: uncultured bacterium
Lineage: Bacteria
Description: partial 16S ribosomal RNA
Rfam family: Bacterial small subunit ribosomal RNA
Source: RNAcentral